AUCUUGCAGAUCUUCCUCGUGUUGUUGCUGUGUAUGUGUUUGGAUCAGUCGGUGUUGUGUUACUGAACUCUGUUGCUCUGAUAACUGAACUGAUCCUGAAAACAGUUAAUGGUGAAGGUGCGAUGGGAGACAUGAGGAUCGUCGUCUUCUCCUCUGAAUUCCUCUUCACUUUCAUUCUGAUGGUUUUAAUGGUAUUUGAACCCUGGAUCACACCAUGUCUGCAGUCUUGUCAGAAGGCAAUAAAGUCUCGUCGAGCUGCAGCCGCUGGAUCACAGCAUCAGGAAUCUCAGAAUGCAGCAGCAGAUUCAGCCAGUGGAUCAAACCAGAACCAGAACCAGAACCCAGCAGAAUCACAUGAGAUGAAAGCUCUGCUGGAAAAACAAAACCAGGAGACCGGCAGGAGUGACGGGGCGGAGGAAACCCAGCCGGAGUCAGUGGUUUCACAAACAUAAUCAACAGUCCCAGAAAAACACUCGUGAGGAGCUUUCCUCUGUGAUUUAAGAGUUCAGUCUCAUUCUUCAUUUGUUAUUGAGGCCGUUAUUUAAUGCACGUUUGCUGUAAAUAUAUGCAGGAUGUUUAACUGCCAUUGCACUUGUUCUUGAUAUGCAUGUAAUAGUGAUUUGCUUUUAUAAUUAACUCUAGCUGUAAACCAACUUCAGCAGUAGAAAUGAGACUGAGACUCCUUCAAGAUCAACGGAGAGAAAUCAGUGUUAGUUUUAACUUUAAACACGUCUGUGGAUUGAUGCUCGAGUCUCGAGAUCACAGUUCAGGAUCAUGAUGUCAGUAAAUGUUCACUUCUGUCACUUACAGCCAUCAGAAACACUGAGACUGAACAUCUGCACCUUCAGAUGGCAGCUCAGAUCCUUCAGAGUAAAACAUUGACAAAAAUUGAUUCCAAUUCUGAAAUCGGAUACUUGAGGUCAGGAAUUGGGUACUUGUUGUAAAAUAAAAAUGUAGAUUCUGUCUAUCGACUCCUGUGUGUGCAUGUUCAGAUCUUUUUUAACACGUC
This 1009-nucleotide long non-coding RNA is filed under the name Sinocyclocheilus anshuiensis. Its description in RNAcentral is "lncRNA (ENSSANG00000033942.1)". Lineage: Eukaryota; Metazoa; Chordata; Actinopteri; Cypriniformes; Cyprinidae. The record is from RNAcentral.